UACGGAGGGUGCAAGCGUUAUCCGGAUUCACUGGGUUUAAAGGGUGCGUAGGCGGGUUGAUAAGUCCGUGGUGAAAUCCCCAAGCUUAACUUGGGAACUGCCAUGGAUACUAUUGAUCUUGAAUAUCGUGGAGGUAAGCGGAAUAUGUCAUGUAGCGGUGAAAUGCUUAGAUAUGACAUGGAACACCAAUUGCGUAGGCAGCUUACUACACGAUCAUUGACGCUGAGGCACGAAAGCGUGGGGAGCAAACAGG
Molecule: ribosomal RNA, 253 nt
Filed under: uncultured bacterium
Lineage: Bacteria
Description: partial 16S ribosomal RNA
Rfam family: Bacterial small subunit ribosomal RNA
Source: RNAcentral